This is a long non-coding RNA of Papaver somniferum (opium poppy), 1134 nucleotides long. RefSeq lists it as uncharacterized. NCBI's taxonomy places the organism in Eukaryota, Viridiplantae, Streptophyta, Magnoliopsida, Ranunculales, Papaveraceae. The transcript has 9 exons. The record is from RefSeq and is a predicted model, not a curated record.
UAGAUUAAUUAUUGAUUAUUUAUACUUAUGCAUAAUGUAUGCACAGGAUAAAAAGGAAGGUUUGGUAGCCGAGGCUGCUCGAGGACUUGCUUGGAUGGAUGGAAAUGUAGAAAAGAUGGAAAAGUAAACCCUUUAGCAGUUGAGAAAAAUAUUUUUCUAGGUCAGAGAAGACGAAUAUUGGAAGUGCAUCAUUAAGCGGGGAAUUAGUGAAUAAAUUGACUGGACUUGCAGCAAGUAAUUUAUGGAUUGUAUCUAGGGAAAUUACUUAUUUUUCAUUACAGCCUGUCACGGAGACCUGGAUUUCGGGAUGUAUGCAUGAGAUAAGGUUUUUUACUCAUCAUCAAUGCAAAAUCAUUUAAUCCCCAGUCGAUGGAUUUGAUAUGGACAUAUUGCAAUUAGCGGAGAGCACGGAUAGAAACGGUGAGCUUAUGGUUCCACCUUCAGCUAUAAAUGCGACUUAUAUUUCCUGCGUCCGCAGCUCGAGUUAAGGUUUGAGGCAGUACGCCCUGUCCUAAGAGAGAUGGCUCUUGCUGGUCUUGUUCACCUGGAUGCAAAGCAAGAAGCAAGUUACCCAACAUAUAUUUACUUUGUUGCUCAAAGUUGUAGGAAAGAGUGCUCCUGAAUUAUCUAAAGAAGCUGCUGGUGUUUGCUUAUGGUCAUUGAGUCAAAACACAGAUAUUUACAAAUAAUGGACAAGGUGUACUUAAAAAGCUGGCGAAUGAAUGAUUGCAGCACUCUACUAAAUAUUUUGAUCCUUUAAGGGAGUCUGUUAAGAUUUUAAGGCAGGAGAAAUACAUCAUCCCACGGCUUGCAAAUUUCUAUGCUAAUUCCUGGUUCUAUCAGAUAUCUAAGGAAAAACUUCCUGUGCAUAAAAGAUUUAAUGUUUGAACGCAAGGAUCACAUGGAGACUCAAAUGUUGCACACCCACCAUCCGAGCGGUCAUAUGUAGUGUACUUUUGAUUUAUUAAUGCAUGAUGUAACCUUUAGAUAGAAUUACACUGAUAGAAGUAGGUUGUUCAUUAUAUUUUCCUAGUGUAUCAACCUUCUAAUUUAGUGAAUGGUUGCAUAAAUUCACUGGAUAUGAAUAUGAAUAUAUGGAUGUAUUGUAAUUUCACAAACAAGAAUGAUUAUAAA